RNAcentral lists this small RNA (316 nucleotides) under Arabidopsis thaliana (thale cress). RNAcentral describes it as "ATSL254570". Lineage: Eukaryota; Viridiplantae; Streptophyta; Magnoliopsida; Brassicales; Brassicaceae. The record is from RNAcentral.
UUUUAAUUUAUAGUUAAAGACAUCCAUGUAUGUUGUGCAAUGUACAUGCUCUAACGGUAGAUACUGCUACCUUAAAUUUUCGCAAGACUAAAAGUAGAAGUCUCUUGUGAGAAAGUUUUUCUUUGAAAGAGCGAUUCUCUAAAGCUGUUGAUGUUGAUGCCGCUAGUUUGGCCAAAGCUGGAGCAUAUAAUUGGCUUGAAUGGGGGUGAGAUAUUCGGACGGAUGAGAUUCCUAAACAUGGGCUUCAUGUUUUGAAUGAAGAAUCAAGUUGAUAUAUUAGAGUUUAUAAUUACUUACUAUUUUAUUGAUUUAUAGA